This 243-nucleotide transfer RNA is filed under the name Metarhizium anisopliae. RNAcentral's name for it is "tRNA-Ile". Lineage: Eukaryota; Fungi; Ascomycota; Sordariomycetes; Hypocreales; Clavicipitaceae. The record is from RNAcentral.
ACUUUUAUAAUAUAAUAAAAAGAUCUACUUAUAUAUUUAUUAAUAAUGUAUAUAAAUAAAUUAUUUAAUAUAUUAAAAAAUAAAAAAAUAUAAUAAAGUAUUUUUUUUAAUUUAUUUAAUUUUAAAAUAAUAAUUAAAUUUAAAUUCUUAAAUAUAAGCUAGAUUAUAUAUAAAAAUAAAUAUAAAAUUAAAUAAUAAAAUAAUAAAACUAAAAUAUAAUAAUAUAAAAAUUUAUUAAAAGUU